Unclassified non-coding RNA from Vulpes vulpes (red fox), 154 nucleotides. NCBI's taxonomy places the organism in Eukaryota, Metazoa, Chordata, Mammalia, Carnivora, Canidae. The record is from Ensembl.
CAAGACUUUCCUUCUACCACCCUGGGAUGCUGGGGGCUGACCUCACAGGUUGGAGGACACGAGUGUUCCUGGGCAGGACAGACAACCAGGCCAUCGGGCUGGAAGGUCUUUGGAGACACAUUGCCCACUGGGGUCAAGGGCAAUGGAGGUAAGG